Long non-coding RNA from Balaenoptera ricei (Rice's whale), 980 nucleotides. RefSeq lists it as uncharacterized. Lineage: Eukaryota; Metazoa; Chordata; Mammalia; Artiodactyla; Balaenopteridae. The record is from RefSeq and is a predicted model, not a curated record. The transcript is spliced from 2 exons.
UGGAGCACACGGCCCUCUCCCCGCCUCAUCAGGCAUCCCAGCAGAUGUGCCAAGGUCGGUCCCCGCUCCGAGGAUUCUUCUGUGAGCAGCAAAAGGAAGCAUUUGAACACUGCUGCUACUGCAAGUGCAGGGUUGGGGUGGGGGGAGGUAAGGGCGAGGCUUUUUGUGAAUAUCUGAGCCUUGUCCUCUCCAGUGAAGAGAGAAGUUAUCCCGGAGGGCCUUGGAGAGCAGGGCUUGAUUUUGAGGAUUUGGUCCCACACGGUGAUGGGAGCUGGUUAAACAGUUUGUGGGAAGCCGUUGCAUCCGUGUCUGGGCUUGAAAUCAACAGGGCCAGCAGUCGAGAAAGAAAGACAGACAUCAGCUGGAGGGCAAGGGCAAACAGAAUCCGAGCUGGACCACACAAGGACUUGUGGAUCCAUGUCCAUCUCUCAACCCCUCAUAGUCUCCAGCUUCGAAGAUGUGCGUGCCCUGCUGGAGAAGCUGAGGUCCUGUGUCCCAGAGCUCAACAUGCUCCUGGCCCAAGAGGUGGGGAAGCAGGGGAGGAGAGCUGGUGAGAGGAGCUUCUGUCCAGGUGCUGCCCCGCAUCACCCCGGUGAGACUGCAGACCAGCAACUACAUGCAUGCACCCCGACAGCCCAGAGGACCAGUGCUGACCUUCUGAACCCAGACAGAAUCUGGCUGCUGCUGCUUCCCUUCUGCCUUCCAAAGCUCAUGUAAAAUGCCUUUUGGGGCCCAAGCUAAUUAUGCAGGGAAAGGAAUUCUGGGAAACAUAAUUCCAGUUGAGCUAAAUUCACUCAGUACAAAUACGCCACAGCAGCCCCACCGCCAUGAUAUAUUGACCUCAAUAUCUUUUCUCUUUUGAAUUACCUAGCAUGCAUUUUGGGCCUGAAGAUGGCUUCCUCGGUCGCCAAGUGACUUAGAACUUUAGAGUAAAUGUCAUAUUUUAAAAUAAAUACUUUUGCUUUCCAUGUUUUGAAAAA